Molecule: ribosomal RNA, 492 nt
Filed under: uncultured bacterium
Lineage: Bacteria
Description: partial 16S ribosomal RNA
Rfam family: Bacterial small subunit ribosomal RNA
Source: RNAcentral
AGUGAACGCUGGCGGUAGGCCUAACACAUGCAAGUCGAACGGCAGCACAGUAAGAGCUUGCUCUUACGGGUGGCGAGUGGCGGACGGGUGAGGAAUACAUCGGAAUCUACUUUUUCGUGGGGGAUAACGUAGGGAAACUUACGCUAAUACCGCAUACGACCUACGGGUGAAAGCAGGGGAUCUUCGGACCUUGCGCGAUUGAAUGAGCCGAUGUCGGAUUAGCUAGUUGGCGGGGUAAAGGCCCACCAAGGCGACGAUCCGUAGCUGGUCUGAGAGGAUGAUCAGCCACACUGGAACUGAGACACGGUCCAGACUCCUACGGGUGGCAGCAGUGGGGAAUAUUGGACAAUGGGCGCAAGCCUGAUCCAGCCAUACCGCGUGGGUGAAGAAGGCCUUCGGGUUGUAAAGCCCUUUUGUUGGGAAAGAGAAGCAGCAGGUUAAUACCCCGCUGUUCUGACGGUACCCAAAGAAUAAGCACCGGCUAACUUCGUG